AGUUUGCAGAGUUGGAUUCAGCAGAAGAGGGGCGUUCCUAUCAAUCUUUUCAAUGUUUCUCACCACUUAAAUAGCUGUGCAGGCUGCAACCGGCAUGACCCGCAUACGUUGGCCAUGUAAAAUGUGGUAUCUCGUGCUCUGCAUCUAAAUAUGUCUGUUUUAAAUAGGGAUGGCCUCUGUAGGAUCUCCCAGCAGCCAACGGUAAAGAAAAGACUGUCUUGACAAACCAACAGAAAAUGGGCAAAGACUCAAAUAGACAUCCUCCAAGGAGAAUGUCCA
Long non-coding RNA from Pongo pygmaeus (Bornean orangutan), 279 nucleotides. RefSeq lists it as uncharacterized. The record is from RefSeq and is a predicted model, not a curated record. The transcript has 3 exons. NCBI's taxonomy places the organism in Eukaryota, Metazoa, Chordata, Mammalia, Primates, Hominidae.